AGAAAGUACUGUUUCAUCUCUUUACAAAAGGUGUUUACUGGAGGUCUAUUUUGAUGAAAAAUGACAAGUUGUAGUUAAAUGAAAUUUGUCUUGUCUAGGUGCUUACUGUAAGUCUUAGUUGUCAAUGACAGUUACAUCUUGGGAGGAAUGAAUGCAAUUA
Molecule: long non-coding RNA, 160 nt
Organism: Alosa sapidissima (American shad)
Lineage: Eukaryota; Metazoa; Chordata; Actinopteri; Clupeiformes; Clupeidae
Exons: 3
Source: RefSeq, a predicted model, not a curated record